This 160-nucleotide unclassified non-coding RNA is filed under the name uncultured Helotiales. Its description in RNAcentral is "sequence contains ITS1". The record is from RNAcentral. Lineage: Eukaryota; Fungi; Ascomycota; Leotiomycetes; Helotiales.
UCGUGUUCCUGCCCUCUGGGUAGAAACCCCCACCCUGUGUUUAUACCUAUCUCUGUUUCCUUGGCGGGCCGCCCUAGGGCGCUGGCUCCGGCCGGAUCGCGCUCGUCGGGGACACCACAACUCUGUAUACAAGUCUGUCUGAGUACUAUAUCAAUAGUUA